RNAcentral lists this transfer RNA (78 nucleotides) under Calothrix sp. NIES-4101. RNAcentral's name for it is "tRNA-Arg". It matches the Rfam family "tRNA". Rfam says of the family: Transfer RNA (tRNA) molecules are approximately 80 nucleotides in length. The record is from RNAcentral. Lineage: Bacteria; Bacillati; Cyanobacteriota; Cyanophyceae; Nostocales; Calotrichaceae.
UGGGCGCAUAACUCAGCUGGAUAGAGUAACGGAUUUCUAAUCCGUCUGUCGCAGGUUCGAGUCCUGCUGCGCCCGUCC